UAAGAAUAUUCCGCAAUGGACGAAAGUCUGACGGAGCGACGCCGCGUGGAUGAAGAAGGCCGCAAGGUUGUAAAAUCCUUUUGCUGGGGAAGAAUAAGCGCAGGAGGGAAUGCCUGCGUGAUGACAUGAACCGGCGAAUAAGCCCCGGCCAACUACGUGCCAGCAGCCGCGGUAACACGUAGGGGGCAAGCGUUGUUCGGAAUUACUGGGCGUAAAGGGCAUGUAGGCGGUUUAGUAAGCUUGGCGUGAAAGACCACGGCUUAACUGUGGGGUUGCGUUGGGAACUAGAUGACUAGAGUUACGGAGAGGGAGCUAGAAUUCCUGGUGUAGGGGUGGAAUCUGUAGAGAUCAGGAAGAAUACCGAUGGCGAAGGCAAGCUCCUGGCCGAUGACUGACGCUGAGGUGCGAAAGUGUGGGGAUCAAACA
RNAcentral lists this ribosomal RNA (426 nucleotides) under uncultured prokaryote. RNAcentral's name for it is "bacterial SSU rRNA". It matches the Rfam family "Bacterial small subunit ribosomal RNA", at positions 356 to 774 of the family's 1533-position model. The record is from RNAcentral.